This 431-nucleotide ribosomal RNA is filed under the name uncultured bacterium. Its description in RNAcentral is "bacterial SSU rRNA". It matches the Rfam family "Bacterial small subunit ribosomal RNA", at positions 29 to 507 of the family's 1533-position model. The record is from RNAcentral.
AACGAACGCUGGCGGCAGGCUUAACACAUGCAAGUCGAACGCAUCCUUCGGGAUGAGUGGCAGACGGGUGAGUAACGCGUGGGAAUUUACCCAGCUCUACGGAACAACUCAGGGAAACUUGAGCUAAUACCGUAUACGCCCUUUGGGGAAAGAUUUAUCGGAGUUGGAUGAGCCCGCGUUUGAUUAGCUAGUUGGUGGGUAAAGGCCUACCAAGGCGACGAUCAAUAGCUGGUCUGAGAGGAUGAUCAGCCACACUGGGACUGAGACACGGCCCAGACUCCUACGGGAGGCAGCAGUGGGGAAUAUUGGACAAUGGGCGCAAGCCUGAUCCAGCCAUGCCGCGUGAGUGAUGAAGGCCCUAGGGUUGUAAAGCUCUUUCAACGGUGAAGAUAAUGACGGUAACCGUAGAAGAAGCCCCGGCUAACUUCGUG